This 497-nucleotide ribosomal RNA is filed under the name uncultured bacterium. Its description in RNAcentral is "partial 16S ribosomal RNA". It matches the Rfam family "Bacterial small subunit ribosomal RNA", at positions 28 to 507 of the family's 1533-position model. The record is from RNAcentral.
GAUGAACGCUGGCGGCGUGCCUAAUACAUGCAAGUCGAGCGAACGGACGAGAAGCUUGCUUCUCUGACGUUAGCGGCGGACGGGUGAGUAACACGUGGAUAACCUACCUAUAAGACUGGGAUAACUUCGGGAAACCGGAGCUAAUACCGGAUAAUAUUUUGAACCGCAUGGUUCAAUAGUGAAAGACGGUUUUGCUGUCACUUAUAGAUGGAUCCGCGCUGCAUUAGCUAGUUGGUAAGGUAACGGCUUACCAAGGCAACGAUGCGUAGCCGACCUGAGAGGGUGAUCGGCCACACUGGAACUGAGACACGGUCCAGACUCCUACGGGAGGCAGCAGUAGGGAAUCUUCCGCAAUGGGCGAAAGCCUGACGGAGCAACGCCGCGUGAGUGAUGAAGGUCUUCGGAUCGUAAAACUCUGUUAUUAGGGAAGAACAAAUGUGUAAGUAACUAUGCACGUCUUGACGGUACCUAAUCAGAAAGCCACGGCUAACUACGUG